CCUAACACAUGCAAGUCGAACGGUAACAGGAAGAAGCUUCGCUUCUUUCGCUGACGAGUGGCGGACGGGUGAGUAAUGUCUGGGAAACUGCCUGAUGGAGGGGGAUAACUACUGGAAACGGUAGCUAAUACCGCAUAACGUCGCAAGACCAAAGAGGGGGACCUUCGGGCCUCUUGCCAUCGGAUGUGCCCAGAUGGGAUUAGCUAGUAGGUGGGGUAACGGCUCACCUAGGCGACGAUCCCUAGCUGGUCUGAGAGGAUGACCAGCCACACUGGAACUGAGACACGGUCCAGACUCCUACGGGAGGCAGCAGUGGGGAAUAUUGCACAAUGGGCGCAAGCCUGAUGCAGCCAUGCCGCGUGUAUGAAGAAGGCCUUCGGGUUG
Molecule: ribosomal RNA, 384 nt
Filed under: uncultured bacterium
Lineage: Bacteria
Description: bacterial SSU rRNA
Rfam family: Bacterial small subunit ribosomal RNA
Source: RNAcentral